Molecule: transfer RNA, 87 nt
Filed under: Entomospira nematocerorum
Lineage: Bacteria; Pseudomonadati; Spirochaetota; Spirochaetia; Spirochaetales; Spirochaetaceae
Also listed under: 1 other name
Rfam family: tRNA
About the family: Transfer RNA (tRNA) molecules are approximately 80 nucleotides in length.
Source: Rfam by way of RNAcentral
GGAGAGAUGCGAGAGUGGUUGAAUCGGGCAGACUCGAAAUCUGUUGAGUUCGUAAGAAUUCCGAGGGUUCGAAUCCCUCUCUCUCCG